This 468-nucleotide ribosomal RNA is filed under the name uncultured bacterium. Its description in RNAcentral is "partial 16S ribosomal RNA". It matches the Rfam family "Bacterial small subunit ribosomal RNA", at positions 28 to 507 of the family's 1533-position model. The record is from RNAcentral.
GACGAACGCUGGCGGCGUGCUUAACACAUGCAAGUCGAACGGAAAGGCCCUGCUUUUGUGGGGUGCUCGAGUGGCGAACGGGUGAGUAACACGUGAGUAACCUGCCCUUGACUUUGGGAUAACUUCAGGAAACUGGGUCUAAUACCGGAUAGGAGCUCCUGCUGCAUGGUGGGGGUUGGAAAGUUUCGGCGGUUGGGGAUGGACUCGAGGCUUAUCAGCUUGUUGGUGGGGUAGUGGCUUACCAAGGCUUUGACGGGUAGCCGGCCUGAGAGGGUGACCGGCCACAUUGGGACUGAGAUACGGCCCAGAAUCCUACGGGAGGCAGCAGUGGGGAAUAUUGCACAAUGGGCGGAAGCCUGAUGCAGCAACGCCGCGUGCGGGAUAACGGCCUUCGGGUUGUAAACCGCUUUCGCCGGUGACGAAGAGUGAGUGACGGUAAUGGGUAAAGAAGCACCGGCUAACUACGUG